UGGGUUGCAUGUGGGAUAUGUGAAAAGA
This 28-nucleotide non-coding RNA is filed under the name Mus musculus (house mouse). Lineage: Eukaryota; Metazoa; Chordata; Mammalia; Rodentia; Muridae. The record is from RNAcentral.